AACGAACGCUGGCGGCGUGCCUAACACAUGCAAGUCGAGCGGGAAAGUUCCCUUCGGGGAGCAAGUACAGCGGCGAACGGGUGAGUAACACGUAGGUAACCUACCCUGGAGUCCGGGAUAACCUGCCGAAAGGCGGGCUAAUACCAGAUAAGACCACGAGGGCUGCGGCCCUUGGGACAAAAGAUGGCCUCUGCUUGCAUGCUAUCACUCCGGGAUGGGCCUGCGCGCCAUUAGCAGUUGGUGGGGUAACGGCUCACCAAGGCUGAGAUGGCUAGCUGGUCUGAGAGGAUGGCCAGCCACACUGGGACUGGAGACACGGCCCAGACUCCUACGGGAGGCAGCAGUGGGGAAUAUUGCGCAAUGGGCGAAAGCC
Molecule: ribosomal RNA, 373 nt
Filed under: uncultured bacterium
Lineage: Bacteria
Description: bacterial SSU rRNA
Rfam family: Bacterial small subunit ribosomal RNA
Source: RNAcentral